RNAcentral lists this ribosomal RNA (302 nucleotides) under uncultured bacterium. RNAcentral's name for it is "partial 16S ribosomal RNA". It matches the Rfam family "Bacterial small subunit ribosomal RNA", at positions 508 to 807 of the family's 1533-position model. The record is from RNAcentral.
GCAGUAGCCGCGGGAAUACGAAGGGGGCUAGCGUUGUUCGGAAUUACUGGGCGUAAAGCGCACGUAGGCGGACAUUUAAGUCAGGGGUGAAAUCCCGGGGCUCAACCCCGGAACUGCCUUUGAUACUGGGUGUCUAGAGUAUGGAAGAGGUGAGUGGAAUUCCGAGUGUAGAGGUGAAAUUCGUAGAUAUUCGGAGGAACACCAGUGGCGAAGGCGGCUCACUGGUCCAUUACUGACGCUGAGGUGCGAAAGCGUGGGGAGCAAACAGGAUUAGAUACCCCCGUAGUCCCUGUCUCUUAUAC